AUGUAUGCCAGAUCAAGAAAUGUUCAUAGUGAACUCAGGAGGAAUGACCCAGAACUGGGUAACAAGUCCCCGGCUGUCUUCCCCAUGACUCCCUGUUGCAAAAGCUCUCCUACAUCCUCCCAGGUUGCCUUGGGUUGUCUUGUCAGUGGCUACUUCCCAGAGCCUGUCACAGUACAGUGGAAAAAAGGAUCAAGCACAGUUUCCUCUGGCAUCACAACCUCCUCCUCUGAAUGGGACUCAUCUAAUGGGCUCUACAUCAUGAGCAGCCAGCUAACUGUCCCAGCUGACAGCUGGAUGUCCCAGAAGUACCAGUGCACUGUGAAGCAUCAGGCAACAGCAUUCCAAACCACCAUGGAUGUUGAAUGCCCUCCAAUACCGGUUCCACUCCAGGUGAACCUGUUGACCCCCCCCUGUGAGGGUGGCUCUUCCCCAGUGCUGGAACUGAUUUGCCUUCUUUGGGACUUCACGCCAAAUGAAGCCAAGGUGGAGUGGCUCGUGAAUGGAAUCAAGAAGGACCUUCCUGGCACAGUCUACUCCUCCGCAGAGGGCACAAAUGGCUUGUUCAUGGGCCAGAGCCGAGUGAACAUCUCUAGGGAGAGCUGGAAUAAGGAGGAUGUUUACACGUGCAAAGUGUCCCAUCCUGCCUUGACCACAGGCUAUGAGAUGAGAAAUGCAAGCAAGUGCAAUACCGAUCGUUGUGACCCAAGACCAGUGGAAGUAUUCCUCUAUCCCCCUUCCCUGAAGGACAUCUUUGUAGCACAUAACACCACCAUCACUUGCUUGGUCACCAACCUGGAGACACCAAGCAACUUGGAAAUCUCCUGGAGCCGGGGAAGUACGGGCACCUUGGAUGUGGUGACUGGCCAGCCAGUUCAGCAACAAAAUAGCACCUACAGUGUGACCAGCAUCCUGCGGGUGUGCGCAGAGGAAUGGAAGUCUGGGGAGGAAUUCACCUGUACAGUGAAGCACCCGGGCAUCCCAUCAGCCAUCACCAAAUCCAUCCACAAGACCAAAGCCACCAAUCUACAGGCUCCUUCAGUCUACAUCUACCCUCCUUCUGCUGAUGAGCUGUCCCUGCAGGAGGUAGCUACUCUGACCUGCCUGGCUAAGGGCUUCCGCCCCAGUGACAUCCUGGUAACAUGGACCCAGCAGGGCCGGCCCGUGUCCCAGGAAACUUUCAUCAAUGUUGGACCCGUCCAGGACACUGCAGAGAAGGAGAUGAACUACUUCAUCUACAGCAAGCUCAGUGUCCUGACCAAUGAGUGGCAGCGGGGAGACAUCUUUGCCUGUGUAGUGGGUCAUGAAAGCCUCCCAAUGACCUUUGUCCAGAAGAGUGUGGACAAAGCCUCUGGUAAACCCACCGCUGUCAACGUCUCUGUAGUUUUGUCUGACACUGAAAUCACCUGCUACUGAGGGGAUAGAGCCCUGCAAGCCUUGUGUCUACUUGUGCAAGCCUUGUGUAAACUACAUGCCAUGUAGUUUAUAUAUAAAGCUGAGGGAUUUCUGGUGAACAGAGCCUGGCUGUAUGUGUUGUAUGUUAAAAUAAAAGAGCAACUGUCU
This is a non-coding RNA of Alligator sinensis (Chinese alligator), 1560 nucleotides long. NCBI's taxonomy places the organism in Eukaryota, Metazoa, Chordata, Crocodylia, Alligatoridae. The record is from the annotation of a RefSeq genome assembly.